Molecule: ribosomal RNA, 253 nt
Filed under: uncultured bacterium
Lineage: Bacteria
Description: partial 16S ribosomal RNA
Rfam family: Bacterial small subunit ribosomal RNA
Source: RNAcentral
UACGUAGGGGGCGAGCGUUGUCCGGAUUUAUUGGGCGUAAAGAGCGUGUAGGCGGCCAGGUAGGUCUGCUGUGAAAACUCGAGGCUCAACCUCGAGACGUCGGCGGAAACCAUCUGGCUAGAGUCCGGAAGAGGAGAGUGGAAUUCCUGGUGUAGCGGUGAAAUGCGUAGAUAUUGGGAAGAACACCGGUGGCGAAGGCGGUUCUCUGGGCCUUACCUGACGCUGAGGAGCGAAAGCGUGGGGAGCGAACAGG